RNA transcript from Teleopsis dalmanni, 1356 nucleotides. It is a transcript of the gene named aquaporin AQPAn.G, with no coding region annotated. The transcript is spliced from 7 exons. Lineage: Eukaryota; Metazoa; Arthropoda; Insecta; Diptera; Diopsidae. The record is from RefSeq and is a predicted model, not a curated record.
UCAAAGACUGUGUCUGCCAAUUUUGAAGACUGUUCGACUAAUGCCAAUUAAAGACUACAAUUACAUACAGUAGUUGCCUAAAUAGGUAUUGCCAAAAUUUAGCGGAAGUUUCAAUUAAGUAGUAAAGUCACUCACAGUUAUGGCGCGUAAUUUCGAAUAUUCACUUGGCGUAAAUGAAUUCAAAUCGAAGGAUCAUCGUCUAUGGCAGGCUUUAAUCGGUGAAUUUUUAGGAAAUUUAAUUCUAAACUUCUUUGCAUGCGGUGCAUGCACACAACCAGAAGAUGGCACAUUUAAGGCAUUAGCAUUUGGUUUGGGUGUUUUUAUGGCCAUCACUAUUGUUGGACACCUUAGUGGUGGUCAUGUUAACCCAGCUGUUACCAUGGGCAUGUUAGUAGCUGGUCGCAUUAGUCUAGUGAGAGCUGUAUUAUAUAUCAUAUUCCAGUGUUUGGGUGCUAUAGCAGGCACUGCAGCUGUUAGAACCCUCCUCGAUGAGGCUUACUAUAACGGUUUAGGUCAUACAACACUUGCAGAAAAUCUAACUGAACUACAAGGAGUUGGUAUUGAGUUCUUUUUAGGUUUAGUUUUGGUGCUUACAGUUUUUGGAGCAUGCGAUUCAAAUAAACCAGACUCUCGUUUCACUGCUCCACUCGCUAUUGGCAUGUCGGUUACCCUUGGACAUUUGGGAACAAUACGUUAUACUGGUGCCAGCAUGAAUCCUGCCAGAACAUUUGGUACUGCUUUUGUUACCGAUAUUUGGGAAUCUCAUUGGAUUUACUGGGUUGGUCCAAUUGUUGGCGGUAUUGCUGCUGCUCUUAUAUACACACAAAUUUUAGAAACGCCAGCUCCACCAAAAAUAAGUGAGGCAUCAGAGAAAUACAGGACUCAUGCCGAUGAACGUGAGGUGAGAUUUAAAUACUCAUGGGAUGAUAGCCUCUUUUACUGAACACAUUCCCAAAACACAAAAGUUUAAUACUUUCAAUUUAAACUUUUGUUGUUAUGCACGCACACAUUUGUACAAAAUUAUCAAAACACUUACACACACAAAAUAUUUUAGUCUAUUAAACGUGUAAUCGUGUCUUUCUUAAAAUACAGAUGAAGAAAUUGGAGAGCGGACAUGAAUACGCUUAAACUAAGCACAAGCCUUAAAUUUGUGAUAAAAAUCAGAACAUCACAUAUCUGCAGUGUCAGCCAUCUAAGUUUACCGGACUUCCAACUGUUGGAAAAUUGCACCAUCCCAUGAUAAUGAUGUUGCCCCUUCGCAGGAUCAUUUACUAGUUCGAUUUUUGUCAUUAUUUUGUAUUUAUGUUUUUGUUAAAAUUAUAAUGCAUUUAGAUUUGUUAAUUAAAAUUUAUUGUU